UGUGGGGACGGAGGAUGUUGGUUUGUUAUCUUGGGUUUGACAGCUCAAAGGCGGAGAUAUUUCCUGCUUAAAAGACUCCCUGAAGAAGGAGGAGGAGGAGAAUCAGCAUUGUGGGCUGCAACAACCGUCUUCCUUUUCCUCCAACCCUUUGGGUCAAGGGUCCUCACCCCUGGCUGCUAGUUGGAAUCGCCUGGGAAGCUCUGAAAUAUCCAGAGGUCCAGGCCCCAACCCAGACCACUUCCAUCUGAGCCUAGGAGAGGGGUGGGGUGGAGGACUACGGGGCAUCGGCAUUUUUUUUCAUGCUCCCCCAAGCGAUUCCAGCGUGCAGGCAAGUUGGAGAAAUCGUGCUUUUGCAUCAGCCCUCGGCUCCAACGCUGAAGUCGAUUUGGGGAGCAGCAACUCUUUUCUCCGCCUAGGACUGGCUGCUGGGGGAUUCGGGCAGGCUCUCCGGAGGAACCAGCCAGUGGAGGACGUUUGCUUGCGAGCGAUCUGGCGUCCGGCUUACCCCGAGGCCCAGCUUGGAGCCGGCGGGUCUCCGGGUCCCCGCAGGCAACCACACGUGCGGCCGCUCCGACCUGUCUGGUUAUCUACCGAGAUCGCCAGCCGACCUCGGCGGCCGCCGCGCGGCCCACCCCGACCACAGAGCUGUGCGCUGAGGAAGGGUUAUUUAACUCUGGCCCUCGCGGAUCAGCCGCACAGCCCCUGCUCACCGCGGGACCUCCCAGGGCACUCGCCCUCUGCGCCCGACUGAGAUGGGUUGCCACUCCAGCAAGAGCACCGAGGUGGCGGGGGAGCCCCAGAAACCUGCAGAGCAGCCCAAGGGAGAGGAGCCAAAUCUGGGGGCUGUCCCAGAGGCCGCGGACGGUAGAGACACCUCCUUGAAGGAUGGCGCCCCGGAGCAGAAGAACUGAGAUGCUUCGCUCUGGAUUCGCGGGCCCUCACCUCAUUCCGGGAACUGCCUUUGGCCAGUGAAACUCGAGAGGAGCCCUGUCCUGAGAAGCUCCAAGGAGAAGGAGGAGAGGGAAAUCCCCGCCUUCGGGAUGCGGGCUUCAGAAGUCAGCUUCACCUGGCUUUGCUCUGGAGCUGUGAGGGGUCGCGGCCCUGGUAGCCCUAUUUCCCCAGCUCCCCAACAGACAGAGAGGAAGAAAAACGCCUUCUCACAUGAUGGGACUUUCCCCUGAGCCCCCUGGCUGACUGCUCUGGCGCUGGUCCAUCUCUGCUGCUGAGAUGUGAUGGUCCUGUGACCCCCAGUCUUCCACCUGCCUCACUUUCCUGAACUCUGAAAGCUCUCGGGCCACAGUGUUGAUGGGGAUGUGUGGCUCUCAGUUCCUUGUUUUGUCUUGUUUUAUCCCUCCCUCUCCUUUUUCUAAUAGCUGGCUGAACAGCCAGUGCCCCUCACAGGAAGUUUUGGGGUUUGGCUCAGUCCACACUGUUUGAGCACUUCAGUAUUUAACUUGGAGAAUUGUAAAUGAGUUAUGGGAACAAUCAGAAUCAGACUGUGAUCAUGGCAAUGGAAGACAACAAGGCCUUGAUCAUCCAGUAAGUGGAACACUGAGUACUGGUGGGAAGGAAGGAGGAGGGUUUCACGUUCCUGGUGUUUUAAUCCCCAGAAAAAUGCCCCUCUGCUGAUGUUCCUGUGUCUCUUCCCAUCAAGAGUGUCAAUUUGAACUCUCGAGCGUCUGAGCUCUCUGUAUCCAGACUUCGGAAAUAUUUCGCUGUUUAUUCACGUGUCUGUCAGUCUCUUUUUCCCCUCCUUGCAUGUGUUUUGCUUUCUAAUGUGACUCAGAAGCAUUUUAAUUGGAAAUCAAACAGACAUGUUUGCAAAUAAAUGAUGACACAACACGUUUGAAAGACAGGACUGGGGAGCUGAGAUUAGAGGAUCAGCG
RNAcentral lists this long non-coding RNA (1886 nucleotides) under Moschus moschiferus (Siberian musk deer). Its description in RNAcentral is "lncRNA (ENSMMSG00000009512.1)". The record is from RNAcentral. Lineage: Eukaryota; Metazoa; Chordata; Mammalia; Artiodactyla; Moschidae.